AAGCACAUCAUCCCUGCUGAGGCUGAAUUCCAGGUCCUGGCCAGCCUGGGAGAAGCUAUCCAAACACGUAUGUUUGUUCUGGAAUUCCCAGAUGUUAAAAUACAUCCAUACAUCUUUGGGCUAUCAUGGGCUGGGGGCUAGGGGAGACGUCAAAGAUAUUCUUUGCAAAUGACUGAGUGCUUGAGUUGCUCUCAUCUCCAAAGUGGAUUGUGCUGUUGUGCUGUGUAAAAGAUCCCCGUCCUGUCCCAGCAGAGGCUGUGCUGCAGUGGUGACCCCUUUAGUCACAAACUGUGGCUUUGACUGGAUCCAAACAAAAUGGAUAUGGCUGGAAAAUGGCUCUUCUCGGUUCCAUCGUUCACUGAUGAUAGAAAGUAGCACAUCCAUUUCACUUACCUUCCUUGGUACUGGAUUAAUCAUCAGAUGAAGUCAAGGGCAGCCACUUCACUGAGUUAAGGGAGCUGUCUUAGUUCCUUAGCUAUUAUUUAGUACAGUGAAAGUGUAUUGCAUGACAAGGGAAAACAAUCUAUGUUACACAAAAUUUUACUCUCCUAAACUAUCUACAUUCCUUCUAUGGUACUGUUUCCCAUGACUGUGGUAUCUUAGGAAGCUUAUUUUGUUAUGCUGAUCAUUGGUUUUGUUAUGGAGAUCAUUCUCCUCCAAAACUCUUCCAAAUACACCUUUCAGCUGUGGUUUUUCACUCCUUUGGUGCAGCAGUAACCUUAGUGCCUGUCAACCUGUGUCUAGCAGAUCUGUCUUCUUAAGAACUCUUUGGCUUCCUUUCUAAGGCAGGGCAAGGAAAUGACACUUUUGAUACAGUCGCUUCCAUAGCAGAAGUUUCUCUGAAGUGUGGCGUUCCUCUCCCUUUCUAUUAAGCCCAGCUGUCCUCAUAGACUCCUGUGAACAUUAAGACAUUCUGAGUAUAAAAGAGCCAUUUCUCAUCCACCUCUUAAAAUCUUCAGCCCUUACUUUUUUUCUAAGUGGUAUUUUUUCAGGAGUUCUUGACACUCGUGUGUGAAUUUGCUGUGCAUUUUGGAGAGUGAGUUGAAAAGCUUUUAGUGAAUGAAUCUCUAACAGCCCUCAGUCUGAGGUUCUCACCAAAUACUGUGUUGGGGGGGAGGGAGAUUACUAAGAAUUUUAGCAUAAAUCUGGAAAGUUUUCCAAGAAGAAACCUGAGCCAAUCGCUUCCUCCCUUCCUUCAUCUUACCUCCGUAGAGCUUUUUUUUAGCGCCCAUGGGAGAGCCCAGGUUAUUAUUUAUUGGAAACGGGGAAUCAAGGUAAGAAGAUGGUCUGGCAGCCCUGCUCAUUCCCAGAAUUAUGUCAUUUCUUUUGUGUGUGAAAUAAAAGAUUGUCUCUCCCUCUCGCUGUUCCUCCCUGUUCAUCAUUCUCAUGUUGUGGAAACAGCCACAGUUGAAAUUAUCUUCUCAUAUCUUGAUGAUUUUCCCACCCCAGUAAACGAGGCGAUCUCCAUCUAUGUUUAUCUUUAAUCUUAUCCCAUUGCCUCUGCUUCCUUACGUGAUUUCAUACAGUGUCCCUUAUGCUUCUCUUGGAGAAAUUUAGAAAAGCACAGAAAGAUCCUUGUGAUGAGAAGAUGUGCUCCCAGAGGUACAUAGCAGGUAGGAAAGAAAUAAUGAUUGCAAGAUACGUGUAUGCUAUUGCUAUGGGGGUCAGAGUUAAGGUUAAUUAAAUGUCUUCAUUUCGCAUUGUAUUUCCCUUAAGGUGUUUGAGAGCCUUCUAAGAGAACCAUUAACUUUGAAUAGCAAAGGUUUCUAAUGAAUACUUUUAUUGAUUGCUCUUGCAACAGGUUUGGUCUUAACUACAUGUACUGUUCGUGUAUUCUAACUUGAAAUUAUGUUGAAUCUUCCCAAUGCAAUAUUAGUAACUGGUAAAUUUUUAAUCAGAUAUGGCGUGUAAAUACUCCUUUUUUCUUUCUUUCUUCCUUUCUUUUUUUUUUUUAAAGACAAAACCAUCAAAGUGCAUAUUGUCCAUUUUUUCUUUUUCUGUGUUUAUAUAAACAUAAUAAGAAUAAAAUAGUCAUAAUAAGAAUAAAAUUACAUACAGCUAACAAAGGUGCUCCUACUGAACUAGACAAUUAAGCCAUCAGAAUGUGAAUGGUUUAGCUGCAAGGUAUGCAGAAAUACCUGGUUUGGAAUUUCAUACAUUACACAAGUUUUAAUUUUAAACAGAACAUUUUUGCAUCUAGAUAAAAUCUCAGAAUUGUUAGGUCUCUUGUAUAUAACCUGCACAUUAGUGUGAAAAAUGUAAAUGGAUAUUAAGUAGGAGCAUUUGUGAUUCAUUCCUUCUAUAUGUAUGAGCAUUUCUUUUCAAUGUGUUUCUCAGCUUGCAUGAAAACUACCGUUUUGCUGCCAUGGAAAUGAGAAAUAGUGAAAGUUAAUGGAAUGAUGAAUCCCCAUUGCUUGAAGACUUUCAGUCAGAGCUGGCUGCCUCAGAGAGUUACUGUUUCUGUGCAGGAGGAACCAGAGGAGGUAGUGACCUCUGUCUUUCUUUAAAGACCUGUGUCUUUGUUUAAAGCCCUUUUCUGUCCCUGAAAUGAUGUCUGUGAUAUAAACAACUUUGGUUGUUUUUUUUACAGUCGACUUUCCGGAUCUCCUUGAAAGUCUCAUGGAGGGGCUGAAUGUCUUUGGGAAUGCUGGACAGGACAGUUGGACAGGAACUGGUUUCUCUAGAGUUCAUUUGGCAUUGAGUUCACAGAUACCUAAUUAACAGGAAUCUUAGCAGAGAGCUUAUGUGCCUUACCACUGCUUGUUACUUGUGUAUGGAAAACCUCUCAGGUCUCUUUUGUUAUUAGAAAAAGAAAUUUCAGCCCUGCUCCUGUUCAGACGAUCUAUUGGCUCUGUGUUAGAAAAUAUAAUAGCACAGAUCUGAGAGCAUUAGUUAAAGACGUGAAGAAUCACACCCUAUGUUGUAAACGUAAAUUUUUGUGAAUUAUAUUUUAUUUAAGUACGCUUGGGAAAUUUACAUAUAGAUUAAAUCCUAAAUAUACAAAAUGUCAGCCUGUUUACAUCCUAAUGCCUUCACAUCAGACGGUGUAUGGAUUGGGUUCAACGCUGGAGCACUCCCCUCAUUACCUUGAACUAACACGUUACAACAGUGAGGGUUAAAAGGAAACAUUACAGACCACAGACAUGCUGGGGAAGUAUUUGAAUUGCUUGGACUUUGCUAUGAACUUGUCAGAAUUUUAAUGCACGUUGCCUGAAAAGCUAAUGAGUCUCCAUCUGGAGACAUAUAACUGAUUACGGGCUUAAUUAUUUCUCUUACCUGAACAGCUCCAUUCUUUGUUCACGCUCACUUCUACAAAAGCAGCAGCAGCAGUGUCAACUUGAAGGCUGUUAUUGCUCAGAUGUGCAUUCCAUACAGGCACACACCUUGUUUCUUUGUGGCUUUGUCUUCUUUUCCCUCUAAUUUUCAUUUCUUGGGCAUUUGAAAUGCUUCCUCCCCCAGGGUGAUCUUGUAGUGGUUAGCAGUUCAUCAGAGAGGAUGUACAGAUGCUAUUGAUAUCCGUGUCUUCAUGGAUGGGGCAGCAUAAUCUAAUAGCUCUCGCACUGAGAGUCACAACAGUGGGAUAAUAUAGAAUGAUCACUCCAACUGAAGUAUAAUAGCACUAAAGGAGGAAACGGAAGCUUGCAGAGCAAAAGAAAGCUGAAGAUGGACUUGAGUUGUUUGGAUAUUGAUAUAGCACAGCAGGAAAGGGUCCACAAAACCUAACCAAUGGGGCACAGCUGUCCAGGCAAAGGAUUUGGAACAUGCCUGUAGACUCACUGCAGUCCCCUUCUUUCUUCUUUCUGUCUUCAUCUGGAAGAAAUCGGGUUACAAGCUGCCUAUAUAAAGACUGUGCACAUUCAGCGCCUGGGGUUGGGUUCAGUGUGGCUGGGCUAUCUGGAGUGCUUUGCUGCAGGGUUUGGAAACCAGAAGCAGUAGAGUAGGUUCCCAAAGAUAGCAAAACUAAUCAGUGCAUUUCAGUUAGCGUGUUUAUUCAUCCAUUGGUGUAAGGGCUUGGUUUUUAUGGGCGCUUUUAUUUUUCAGUGUACUAACUGUCAUACUUUUCCUCACUCUUUUACUUUAUUCCCAUGAGCUGAAGCCAACCUGUCUGGGGUGACCAGAUGACCUCCAGCUCUGUGUUAUGGAGGCGUCAGGACAUAAACACUGAUGAGGCAAUGGGUGCAGCCACGUGGUAAUGAGGGCAUUAAGAUUUCAGUUUACUUUGUGGGAAUGCAAUGAUGAUGUUUUGACUUGCUGGAGACAGUGAUUCUGUGCAAGCAACAACCAAUUUCAAAGAGAUGAAAAAAAGGUUUUCCUUGCUUGGCUAAAACAUCCAUCGGAGAAGGUAAGUGCCUAUGCCCUGCUCCUGCAGGCAGCCAGAAAAAUGUCCCCAGUUCUUCCAGGCAGCUGUGAAAUGAGAACUUUCUUCUAACAGAUGAUACAUUCCUCUUAUUAGUUACAGCCCAGUGGCCACUGUCAAACACUUAUUAAUUAUUCCUCUAUUUUUUCCUUUCUAGCACCUGCAAGAAGAUUUUGCCUUCAAUAAACAGCACUUUAUUGACCAGCAGUUUGCUAUUGAUUUCUGUACUCAGUAAAAAUGUGGGCUGUAAUAUAUAGAUACAGGAUUCCUGAUUCUCCUUCCAUGCUUGUGGAAUUCAGGACAAAUUGAUUUUGAGCUCCAUGGGAUUACCUGGUGGUGGUGCUGUGGAAAUGAGAUGUUUGCCUUUCUGCCUUCUCCAGUCUUCUGUAAUUCCAUUCCUUUACGUGCUGGCUUUUUUGAUGUGGGUUAAGGAACGUGCCAUGGUGACCUUGCUCUGCUACUGCUGCAUACGUGGCUGUGCUAAGAGUGCAGCUGAUAGCAUUUGGGGUCUGGGGGAGAACAGGGGUUGAGGACUCCUGCCACAGCUGCUCCUGCAUUGCCAGGAGGGGCCAAGGGAAGGGGCUGGGGCUCCCACAUCAGCAUCACUGACCUGGGGGAAUGUUUACAUCCUACUGGUGCAUCUUCUUCCUUUGGAAGCUGUUGUGAAGAGGGAGAAACAAACUAUAGUGUCCAGACGUAAGAAAUGCUUGUGCUUAGACUGAUGUUUGCAUAGAACAGGGGAGGAAAAACGGGGUUUGUGCCUUGGUGACUCCACAAGCUCUGCAGCCCCAGGACACCUUAAAUAGCCCUCCUGGAGCUUGAACUGCUUCUCUGCUUUCCCUGGGACCUUGAGUCUGUUGGACCGUUAAUAUGUCAUUUUUUAGGAACACACCAAUUCACUUAACGUUCUCCCACACUGUCUCCUUCCCAGCUCUUGCUCGGUCCAUUUAGUUGAUUGCUGCGUACUCCUGUUAGUGCUCUGUUGGGCUGCUGAUAUAUGUUUAGUAGCUCUCCAUAGCAGACUAGUUCUAAAAAAAUACAGUGCUAAGAAUUUUCAACACAGGGAGCUGAAAGCCAAGGGCUGGGAUUGCAGGGGGAGCCCUGCUCUUGCCUCCAGCCAGAUGGGGUUGACAAGAGGAAAUUUUUGGUCCAUGCCUUUGCAUUAGUCAAACAGCUAUUAUUUAUUUGUUUAUUUGUUUGUUUUGCUUUCCUGAUUAACUAUACUUUGACAAUCAUGCUUGGUGAUGAUCGGAGCAGCUCUGCAUAUAAUGGAUGUACUCAGGUAAUUAGCUCUUCUGUUUAAAAAGGCCUGGUGGACAAAUAAGCUUCCCUUUCUCGUUUUGUUUUCUUUUUCUGAGAGCAGAGAGAAGUGGAAUGUUGAGCAGACCGUAUCCUGCAAGCCCCUGCAUGUGUCAUCCAUGUCUGCACAGGUGCAGAAGAGCAGGUCUCAUUCUCAUGCACUACAGCGGUGUGUUGGCUUCCUGAGCUUCCCACCCUGCACUAUCCUCACGCUGCCAUAGUGCAGUGUAAUAGCAAAAUCUAUUAAUGCUUGGUGCUUUCAUGGCCCAAACCCGUCAGGCUCCAUUUCCCUCCCACAUGUAGUGGGCUGUUUUACAGCUUUCUCAUGCCUCGGGUGAGCAGAAGCUUCCUCUUGUUUGCAGCUCUGGCAGGAGAGUUAUUGCAUCCCUCCCUGAGUGAGGGUGCUCAGCCAUGGGGUAACCCUGCAGCAUGGGUAGGAUGAGCUGAGCCCAACUGCAGCACGAACUGCUCUUGGCUUCUACUUGACCCAGGCUCAGCAGAGGCAUGAGCACGAGGGUCUGGUCUGCAGACGCUAAAUGGGGUCAAACUAUACUGCUCCUGCCAAAAUGAUUGCUCAGUGGGUGGCGGAGUGAAAUUGCUCUGGCUCAGAUUGAAAAGUGAGCAAAGCCAGUGGAGGUUUUCUUUGAAAGUGCCGACCUGGCAGGGGCUCCGAACUGGUCACAUUUCUAAAGGCUGGGUAAAAGGCGCUGCAGAAUGAUAGUGGUAGUUACUCUCAGGGUUUGCUGCAGCAUCUCAUCCUUUGUGCGCCUUACCCCUGUGGCACUGCCUAUGUGCAUUGCUGAGGGAGAUGAUCAGCUGCAACACCUUCAGCUAAUUAAUGUAAUCAGGUGUUUUCUAAAAUAUAACCACAGAUUUCAGCAGGGUAACCACAGAUUUAAAAUUUUGUCUGAGGUAGCAGGAAAUGUUCAGUGGAUAUUCUUUGCUUAUGAUUAAAUUUCCAUUCUUGAAAUCUCCUUAGGAAGAAUAAUUAGGAAGGAUCAUUUGUCACGGAGGGUUCAUGCAUAUGAUUAAUUUACUGCAGUCCAGCAAUUACUGUGGAGUGACAGGGACUGUCUGUUUGUGUGUUCCUAGCCCCGAGCACAUAUAUGGGUCUUUAACGUAUAUUUUACAUGGCAGUAUGUUUCUGUAUCGUGAAUUUUCAAAGAAAGUAGUGAAAAAGCCAUUGAUCUUCAUGGAAUUGUUCUUAUUUUUGCUAUUCCUCUGCUGUUAUGGUAUUGUGGCACUCACACUGUAGCCUGGCAAUAUAUCCUAAACGUGGUAGUGCAGUUAAGUUAACCUUCCCUGGCAGACACUUUUCAGGCUGUAUCUUAUCAGCAGUGAAGGCUUUGCCCCCAGCUGUCAUACAAUUCAUCCUUGGUUUCAUGAUCUCGCCUUCUAGAAAAAUUCUUGAUGGUUUAUGGAGUAAAAACUUGUCUUUGAUCUGAUGAGUUUUGUUCCUGUAAAUGCUGCUCUUCUCUGUAUUUAGUACUGAAGAAUUGUUUCUCCUUUCACUAACUUUAUUUCAAUUAUUCUUCUUUCUUAUGUAUCAGAUUUACUUAAAUGCAUCACGUCAUCUUGUGCAGAGUGAUUCUGAGAGAGAUUCUGCAGUAAAUGAGUAAAGAAAUCGCUGGUGCAGGAUUGCUGAAUUCCAGAGGGUAAAGGAGGAGCACCUGCAGCGAGGACAUGAAACAUGGAGUUUGCUGCAGUGAGCUUUGGGAUCUCAGGAUGUGGUACUUUGAAAUUAAAUUUCUCUAGUUAGUCUUCCAAAUAAGCAGCAUGCUACCUAUCUUAAAACUGCUAUAAACAAGUUUCAUCAUAGUAGGUUUGCCUGAGUACAAUCUGCACACCCCAGAUAAGAAGGAGCUACAGUUUACUUGGAUAUGUGCUUGUCUGGUGGGUGGCAGCUUAGUUCAUGUCUUCUGAAUUCCCAUAUUCACUUUUGCUGGAACUUGUAUCUCUACACUGAGACCCACAGGUGGUGAUCUGUGCAUCUGAAGGCAGAUCUGGAUGUAAGUGCUGAAGUUUGAGUGGAACUCUGGUUUUGAAUGGAAUUGUUUGGUUUUCUUUGGUGGAAUUAUGGCUAAAUCUAGGCUCUGGAGGUGCUGAGUACAAUGUGUAGUACUAACCCAGAUGGUCCCUUUGUCUCCUUAUGCUCCUUUAUGCUUUAUUUGUUGUUUUACCAAAUAAAAGUGCUGCAGGCAAGAAACUUAUUUUGAUUUCUUGUUUGCAGAGGAUCCAAUAAGAGCCUGUCUUAUGAAUGAGUCCUCAAGGCACUGCCAAAGUAACAUAAGUGAUAAAUAGUAAUAAUUAUGAUAAUAACAGAGAUGGCAUCUAUUAGUAGAGACACUAAUAGAGUUCUAAUAAGAAUCACAACUGAGUGAUGCUUCUUAAUCAGAAUUAAUGAUGUGUGUUGGAAUACUUUAAGGCAGGAUGACGUUGAUGACGUUGAUUCGGCAGCUGGGUAACCAUCAGCAUUCCCCGACCUUUCUCCAAAUAAGUUCAGGCCAAAUGUAAUUAGCUAGAAUGCAGAUAAGGAAAUUUUAUUAAGCUGUCUUUCCCUUCAGAGGUACAACUUUUUUGCAGUAGAAUUAUUUAUCACUGAAUUAUUGGAGUGAACACAUGAAUAUGCUGUUAACCCUUGUUGCCAUUGGAAGA
Molecule: long non-coding RNA, 8311 nt
Organism: Tympanuchus pallidicinctus (lesser prairie-chicken)
Lineage: Eukaryota; Metazoa; Chordata; Aves; Galliformes; Phasianidae
Exons: 3
Source: RefSeq, a predicted model, not a curated record